CAUCAAAUGACUGAAAGUAAGUAUUGGUCUCUUAAACCACAUUAUAGUAAUUAACAAAUACUUUUGAUGAAUAAUUAAUAAAUACUUUUGAUGA
RNAcentral lists this transfer RNA (94 nucleotides) under Phraortes sp. Miyako Island. Its description in RNAcentral is "tRNA-Lys". Lineage: Eukaryota; Metazoa; Arthropoda; Insecta; Phasmatodea; Lonchodidae. The record is from RNAcentral.